This 6725-nucleotide long non-coding RNA is filed under the name Sus scrofa (pig). RNAcentral describes it as "lncRNA (ENSSSCG00015056265.1)". Lineage: Eukaryota; Metazoa; Chordata; Mammalia; Artiodactyla; Suidae. The record is from RNAcentral.
CAGCCACAGCAAUGUGGGAUCUGAGCUGCGUCUGCAACCUACACCACUGCUCAUGGUAAAGCUGGAUCCUUAACCCACUGAGCAAGGCCAGGGAUUGAACUCGCGUCCUUGUGGAUGCUCGUCAGGUUCGUUACCACUGAGGCACAGCCAGAACUCGUGCUGUACCAUUUUAAAUGAUGCCCUCUGGAUCAAUACCAUACUUCCUCCCUCAGAUGAGGAAGCGGGCAGACACUCAGUGGGGGCAGACCUGGCAGUGCAGCCGCCUCGGCUAUCAAAGGCCGGUACUUAACGACAUAAAAUCCAGCACAGUUUAACUCUGUUUAGCAGUGCACGUUAAUUUCCCCGGGCAAGGGAGGGGAGGACAGUUCCUGAAAAGGUGAACAAUAUAGAGAAGGGUCAUCUGUAACCCUGAUACUUCUUCCAGGAAAUCCCUUUAUAAGAGAAAUUAUCAUCGCAACGGUCAACCUAGAUUUUAACACGCUGGACUCAUGACAAACAUAAACCUCUAGCUGCACAGCGGUGCCCGUGGUGUAAAUGACAUUUUUGCUCAAUUUCUUUCAGAUACGUGGCCUCGUGUCCACGUGACUCUCACGGUAACGCUGUAGGUGUGAGGCCUUUCAGAUGAGACAACCCAAGGACAAGCAAAAGCGCCCCAGGAAACAAAUGCCCAAGAUCCCAAUCCCGGAUCGGACCUCAGCUUUGGUUCUGUCGAGACCCGCUCCCACCCCCCACGGCGUCCUCCCCCAGCUUCAUCGCCCUCGUGUAUGAGCUACAGUCACCCCGAGUGACAGGGACGCCAGCAAGGCUCUGCCAGCCCCGCUCCUGGGAAGGCCUCAGGACCUGCUGGCCAGUGUUUUAUUCAUAGGAAAGAAAAACCUCCCAACGGCCUGGGAUUCCCAUCUCAGCGGCCCAGCUUCUCGUCCGUGAGAUGAGGACACUGGCCCAGGUGACCCGCAAGGUCCAAUUCCAGCUCCAACCGUCCAAAGAUAAAGGCUGCCCGCCUCAAUCCUGAGCAACCGAAAGAGCAUCUUUAAUAAUUGAAGUGAAACGCCGCUCUGUGCUCCUGUCCUCAAGACCAAAGCAGCCCUCCCGCUCUUAACGAGUAAAUUCAAGGUUACCAGGCAGGCUGAGCUCCCCGACCCCCCCCCCCGCCCCCGCAGAGACAGAGCCAAACUCAGAUUCCUCAACUUCCAGCCCUGUGGUCUUUCCUUUGCGGGAUCAGCGGGUAUAUUUUUCCACCACAAAAAAUCACAAGUUGCUUGGAGAUCUUUCCCUACCCUCUCCACCGAGGAAUCUAUUUGCAAAUCUGAAGAUACCUCCAUUUGGAAGCAAAGCUGUUCUAUAAUUAUUAGCAAGUGACAGGGUCGGGGCCCCACCUGGCAACACGCUUCCAGGAACUAAGCAACACCUACACCCUGGGGCUGCCGAAAGCGAGUGCUGAGAAGUUUUCAAAAGGCAGACUACAUAAAAAGGAGGAAAAAACAUGCCCUGGUGAGGUUGGAAAGAAGCAGGACCCCGUGCAUGCUGUCGGAUGGGGAGCAAAAUAAUGCAGCUACAGAGCACAGUAUGACAAUUCCUCAAAAAAUUAAAAACAGAACUGCCAGAUGACCCAGCAAUUCCACGUCUGGGUACACAGCCAAGAGAAAUGAAAGGAAAAGAUACCUGUACACUGUGUCCAUAGCAGCAUUACUGCCAAGAGCCAAAAGGUGAAAACAACCCACGUGACCACAGAUGGAUGAAUGGAUACACAAAUGCGGUGUCGUACACACAGUGGAAUAUUAUUCAGCCUUAAAAAGGAGGGACAGGAAGUUCCCAUGGUGGCGCAGUGAAACAAAUCCGACUAGUAUCCAUGAGGAUGCAGCUUCAAUCCCUGACUCGCUCAGUGGGUUAAGGAUCCUGCGUUGCUGUGGCUGUGGUGUAGGCUGGCAGCUGUAGCUCUGAUUCGACCUCUAGCCUGGGAAAGGGACAUUGUGGCAGAUGCUACAGCAUGGAUAAACCUCUACAGCCUUACGCUGAGUGAAUGAGCAGUCACAAGAGGACAAAUAGUCUAUGAUCCUACCUAUGUGCGGAACCUAGAGCAGAUAUGACUCACAGACACAGAAGGCAGACAGGUGACUACCGGAGCAAGGGUGGGGGCAGGGCGGGGCGAGUUCAUAUUUAAUGGUUACAGAGCAUCAGUUUUUUGGUUUUUGGUUUUUGUCUUUUUGCCAUUUCUUGGGCAGCUCCCGCGGUGUAUGGAGGUUCCCAGGCUAGGGCAAAAAGACCAAAAAAAAAAAAAAAAAAAGAAGAAGUAGGGGAGAGGGGUCUUGGGGCAUUAUUUGGUCCCAUCAUAAAAAAUUCCAGAUGUACAGACACCAAGAUACACCCACCACCUCCAGUGCAGCUUGGCAAGUAUGGGUAUGAGGGGAACAGGCCUAAAAUUCACAAAGUAGAAAUAAGAAAAUGGGAACUAUUCUCUCCCAGGAACAUAAAACUCUUGAAGGCAAUACCCCCAACUAAACUCACUGCAAACACGGUUUAGACAACAGGCUCAUAACACACUUCUUGCCAACACACAGGCCAUGAAAGAUAAGGAUCAGAGUCUGAACCAUAAAAACCAUACGACGUUAGGGGUGUGGAUCAAAAAAAAAAAAAGUUGUCUGCCAUUUCGGUAAACAAGCAAUGUUGCCUGCCUCUGGUAAACAACCAACAUUGCUGCCAGCGGGCCAUCAGCCGCUGCAGCCGCCCCAAAGGUGCGCCCUAAGGGGAAUUCAGAAGGAGACAAACAGGAUGCUGGCCCCAGAUAGUAAAGACGGCUUAUCAAAGGAAUCGUUUCAACGAGCCCAGACUCUUGCACCUGCCCAUACACAGCCAAGCACUAAAAUCAUUAACCUGGGUGUCUGAUUAGCAGUAACCUCCAGAUGUCCAACUACAGUUUUGUUCCAGCACAAACUCCUGUAUAUGCGGUUCCUCCCUCACCUCUCUGGAGCAGGUCCUCAGAGCAUCUGAGAGGCCGCCUCCCACGCUACAUCCUCAGUGAGGUCCCAGAACAAAACAUAACUCACACCUUGGAGGUCGUGCCUAUUAUUAUUAUUGCUGCUGGUGUUGCUAUUUGGUGACGGGGCCAGAAGGCCUGGAGCAUCUACAAGCCGUGUGCAGGGGACAAGGGAGUCACACGAGCUCUCUGAUGAGGCCUCACCAGCGGCCAUCGAGAGCAAAAGCAUUAAACUAGAUGAUGACUUUGAAAAGGUCUUGGUCCUUGGAAAACAUAGGCUGAAAGUGAACUGUUGUCAUUUCUUCCCGGAGCAAGCAACGAGGUAGGUCAGACUCGGUCGUGGGCUCUGGAUGCGUUCACAUCCCCCCGGCUGCCCCUCCUAGGGCUUAGACGAUCCGUUCAAAACGUCCCCCGCAGUCCUCAAGGCCCCAAAGGUCAAAGCCACUCCUUUAUUCAAGGAUCUAAGGCACCUUUGGCACCUUCAGCUUCUGAAUGAUUCAUGACUUCCGGUGGGGGGGGGGCGUGCCACAAACCCACCGCUGUGUGUGCAGAGGCAAACGUGUAUCUGUCACCUCUACCCUCAAGGCAGGUGGCCUCAGGGACACUUGUGCAAUCUGGAUUUGAGGAACACACAGGGAGCUUUCUGAUUGGAAGGCCAACCCAACACCAUGCGGGGACAGGCCUCCAGCUUUGUGUUCCUGUUACCAGCAGCAGCGGUCCCCAGCCAGCGCCAGCUCUUCGGGGCCCACCGAUACUCCAUCCAGCCUGCCGGCCACUUUGGUUAAAGGAGCAUAUCAGAGAGACCGCUAAAGAGCCAGAGUUUCCUGGCAACACUAGGCAAAGAUAAUAACGGCAGCAAACCAGUGUGACACAAACCUUUAAACCCGCUGUCCACUUCCACAUGCCAUUAAGGUUGGUACCUGGUCCAGAUGGUGAUGAUUUAAAGGGUUGAAAUUGCUUAGUUAUCGUAAUGAUGCAAGGGACACAAUUUCCCCAUUUUGCAGAGAAGGAAAUUGAGCUUUAGAGUUUAACUUGGACAGGAUAAGGGGUAAAAGCACUUCUCCAACCCAGCUAAAGGCCACAUCCAACACUGUGACAACACUGUGACAAUCCCACCAGUCUUCUGUGUGACUUGACUUCCCACCUACGUAUGGGGCAGCCCCCAGACUUUAAAUUAUAUACGCAGCAAGGUGUAACACACAGCAUCUGAAAAGAUAUUCAGUUCUCCAAUGGUGAGGCCAAAAUUAUCCGCUGGGGUAUACUUUAAUAGUUUUAUGUCCUAGUCUGGAAGUUGGUCGGCUUGCUCCAGAGGUAGGGCUGUGCUUGCCGGUCGGGCCAGGACAGCAGACCAGCCUCAUCCUCCACACUUCCAGGUGGAGCACACAGGUAAGCAGAAGAUGCUCGGGGCAGGUGCACAGACUCAGCUGAGCCCAGCCACCAGCUAACAGUCAGGGGCACAGGGUCCUUGAAGCUCUGAAAAGGUCUCGUUACUUUUGAAUUAAUGAAGAAAAGGGGCAAAGAAAUUGACUAGUAAAAUCUGAAUUAAAUAUGCAUGGGGAAAAUCUUCUCCUCCUAGAGUUCCCAUGGUGGCUCAGCGGUAAUGAACCUGACUAGUAUCCAUGAGGACGCAGGUUGGACCCCUGGCCCCGCUCAGUGGGUUAAGGGUCUGGCGUUGCCAUGAGCUGCGGUGUAGGUUACAGACUCGGCUUGGAUCCCAAGUUGCUGUGGCUGUGUUGUAGCCAGCAGCUGCAGCUCCGAUUUGACCCCUAGCCUGGGAACCUCCAUGUGCCUCGGGAACAGCCCCCCAAAAACCCUUCUCCUCCUCCUUUUUAUCCGGAUCCACCUCAAGGAUCUAAAGCCAUCUCUGAGGACCCAUGCUCAAAGAGCCCAGGCCCGCCCUUCCUACACAUGCCCGCCCCCUGCACGUGGCAGGUCACCUGAACGCUCACCUGUGCCCAGUGCUGGGCUUGACACCAUCAGCCAAGGCUAAUUCCAGUCCUGAGAAGCUGAACUUCUGUUAACGUCACUGGCUCAGUUAUGGAACAAACGAAUGUGGAUAUCCGCUGAUGAUCUUUCUAGAAGCUGAAGACUCUGCUCUGGGAGAGUGAUAUUCUUUCCCUGGGCGUAUCCAAGCCCUUGGGCUUGUAGGUGGGACCCUUCCUGCUCAGGGACACACGAUCUGUCUCCCAGGGUUCUCCCCGCCUCGCCCUGGGUGCGGGAUGUCUCUUUCUCCCUUCUCCCGGUGGGACUCGGCCAUGUGAGGUCAGCUGUGUGACUGAUGGCCCCUUGGGCCCUGACACUGCAGGAAGGAGCUGUCUGCCCCCCACCAGGCCUCAGAGGGAUGUGGGAGGGGAGUCUCCACUGGCCACCCCUGGCCAUGCUCCUCUGAGCACAUUCCACCCCAUGUCUUCCAUCUGGGUCCAAAUCUGAGGUCUGACCAGCUCUGAGUACAAAGACCAGGCUGCUUGGGGUCUGGCCAAGGUCACAUUCACCCGGGAGCUAAUGAGAUAAAGGCCAGUUUCCCUAAAAGCAUUUAAAACAAGACAAUUUCUAAGAAAUUUCAAAAGUGAUAUAAUGACUAAUUAGACUUGCAUGAAAAUGAAAUUGGUUUAUAAAUAGCAUAUCCUCCCCUUACUAUUUAGAUUAAUGGCAAAGAGGAAGUCUUUCUUCUGAGCCUUGUGCAUUGAUACUUAUCGGCUGGCAAGGGUGAUAAGUUACAGAGAAAUGACAAAAAAGGAAGUCUAACUUAAGAGCAGCGUGAUGCAGGAAAUACAAGGCCAGGCUGAGAGUCCAGGGCCCUGGGUGUCAUCCCCACCCCGCUGCACCGACAGUACAUGUGGGGCCAGGUCCCCUCCCUCCCGGCCAGUCGGACCCAGUGAGUCCAUCAGCUGCUCCACGUGUUAGUCUGAUUGUCCUGAACGAAGCGCUGGGAGAAGCUCCUUACACAAAAGAGCAAACUUCUGGCUGCCCUGGGAAUUUCUGGGGACUGGGGAGUUUACUGGCAGGCCGGCAUUCUUCAAGAGAUGCUCUGGUCCAAAGUAAGGAAACGCCUAAAAACUCAAGAUGCUUUUUUUUUCCCUUUUAACAGCCGCACCCGCAGCACAUGGAAGUUCCCAGGCUAGGGGUCCAAUCAGAGCUGCAUCUGGAGCCUAUGCCACAGCCACAGCAAUGCCAGAUCUGGGCCGCAUAUGCGACCUAUGCCACGACUUGUGGCAACACCAGAUCCUUGACCCACUGAGCGAGGCCAGGGACUGAACCCACAUCCUCACGGAUACUAGUAGUGUUCUUAACCAGCUAAGCUACAACAGAAACUCCACUCAAGAUGCUUUUUAAAAGCUCAUAGGUCGGACUAAUACUUCCUGCAAAGCAUUAGUGCUCAUACUUCCUGCCAAUGAGCCGACAAAACCAGAGGCCCUGGGUGCUCCAACCAGAGUCCUUUCUGAAUUAACCAGGCCCGGCCCAUCGCAGCUCAGCUCCAGACCCAGAGGAAAGGAGUGCCAGCUCCAGGCCAUCCCGAAGGGUGGAGGGCAGCGGGGGAGGUGUGGGGAGUGCAUGUGUCCGAUCGAGGGGGGCUGUUGCUCAGAGAGAGUGAGACGGAAACUGAGACGCCCAGAACGACUCCAGACACGCAGCAAAGAAAGCGCAUAGGCGUGGUAGGUUUUCUCCUCCUUCAAGGCCCCCACAGGGCAGGGGAGCCCCACACUGAGGCUAAGCUUCCACCUGCUGGCACAGAGCAGAUUCACCCAUGCAU